Molecule: long non-coding RNA, 23694 nt
Filed under: Ananas comosus (pineapple)
Lineage: Eukaryota; Viridiplantae; Streptophyta; Magnoliopsida; Poales; Bromeliaceae
Description: long non-coding RNA (ACOM_LNC032464)
Source: RNAcentral
GGCGACAAAAAGUAUGUUUCCAUUAGUAUUUUCCUUUCCUCAGUAUGAAAGUUACUAUUAGUUGAUAGUAGGCAAAAACAUACAGACAUAUCUCUAGUCCCACUAAGAGGUCAUUUGUAAACAGGACCUUUAACUUAAUCUUUUUCUCAGAUUUGAACCCCUCAAGUAGCAUGUUUUCAAAAAUUCGUACAGAACAUAGCGAUCCUUUUAAUUUUUCACGGGAUAUUUGUAAUUAAUGAACAUUGCACUACUUGAUGGAAUAUUCCAUAACUAUUUUGGCAGAAGCAUUAAGAUCUUACAGUAUCUGAAAUUAAAAUGUUAGUUGUGGGGCUCAAAAUCCAAAAAGCUACAGUUCAGUGUCCUGUUUUCGAAUGACCUAUACUUGAGAGGGUGUUGGUAAAUUCUUGCCUUGCUAGCAAGACAAAAUAGUACACACCAAACUCAUAGCUUACAUCUCGCAGCUUGCCUUUCUCCAUAUUGUAAUAUCUCAAGAAGUCCUGCACAGUUUUGAUACCAUGUCGUUGAAAAGUCUCGUGAAAUUUACCACCAUUCGAAAUGUGUUUAAGCCGCCAAACUUCGUCAUCCAAUGAAGGAGUAUGACGCUUUUGAGACGCUGAACAUAUUGAAACCAAUAGGCUCAGAUACCAAGAGUAAAGAAGAAAUUACAGCAGUAUGUGCUUCCGUUAAACAACAAUGCAGUAUCAGAAAUCAAAAUAUGUAGUCUCUUGUGCUCAAUGGAUUCUACAAUUGAACCAACCAUACCUAGCGCAGUUGGCUAAAGACUUGAUGGUUGGUACCCCGGAUCCCAAGUUGAAGCCUAAUUGCUUCACAUUUCUAGCUGAGUUCAUUUCAAAAAAAUAUAUAUAUACGAAGUAGAUAGCAUGCCAUCUUUCUCUCGAAAAAAAAAAAAAAAGUUUCUACAAUUGAAGAAAUUGUCUCCAUAUAAUUUAAUAUCAUUUAUUUAGAGUUUCGUGAAGGAAAUUCAGCUAAAAGUAUGGCAUAAGAAACAAGAGAGAUGAGAUCUAGAUUAAACAAAUUUUCAAUAUUCUCCAUUUUCUAAAUAUAUGUGCUGUGCUUCUAUUAGGUAUAGAGAGAUCUACAUAGUAUAAAGUAGCAAUUAAUUCCACAAUGUCCAGAUACUGUUGUACAAAGAAUAGUUUCAUAUGAAAAUCUUUUUAAUGUAAAUCAACAAUCACAAGGAGUCUAUCAACAAAUAGUACAUAACAAGUUUCUUUUGCUACCUUUUCAAAAAAGGUCUCUUAAAAUCAAUUAGACAAGGUAGCAUAAAAGAAAAAUAGACUGAUUUUUCACCGCCAAAUUGUAGCAUCGGACAAUAGCCCUUCAGUAAUCAAUACCAGCCUCUAUAUUACUACAUUGCAUUCUAAAGAAUACUAAGAGAUUAUCUUCACAUAAGAUAGAAUAGUUUUCAGAAAUCAAUAAGAAAUAAGGAUUUGCAAAAGGAUCAAGCUCUUAUUGUCAUGUUGGUGUUGAUUAUAUAUUUAUGUCUUUUCUUUGUUUUGUCCUGUGAGCAAGUUCUCAUCCAUGAGUCAGUCCCCAAAAUAAUAAAUAAAAUAGAGAUUUAAAUUGAGUGCCCUGUUGUACUCAAGAACAAGAAACAAUGGCCUGUACCUACGCCACUACAUCAGUCGUGGACCACUCAUCCCAUCUCCCUCCAACCAAUCCUUUUAUUUUUAAUCCCUAUUGUCGAUUCACCACCUUUGCUUGACUCAAAACUAACUUUUUGCAAAAUGUAAAUUGGUUGGUUGGGUUGGAAGUAUGAAAGGGAUCGAGCGAGGUAAGAUAGGCAGUCCACAACUAAUGUGGUGGUCCAGGUUCAGGCAAUAAUCACUCAGUCCUCACAAUCAGUGUUGAUCAAUCAUACUAAUGUCAAUAAACCAAUGAAUUGGAAAGCCAAAUAUAGAAACUUCAAAUUAAACUUACAUUCCACUCGGCAUUCCUUCACCCUGAAAGGUUCAGUUAUUCCUUCUAGAAUUCUUUCUCCAUUUGGCGCACUUUGAGCAUAUCUCACCCCAAGCCUAAAUGUUUUAGUUUUUCGAGAACUGGAAUUAUCUGUAAAAGCGAUAUUCCCAACAGAACCAAUCCCAUUAUUCAGCUUGAUAAAUCGUUCUCCUUUGAGUAAUUGUCCUUUGUUAUCUCGUGGAAGUGCUAUUCUUCUAUUAAACUCCUCCUCGCUCCAAGUCUCUCGAUCGUCAUUAUUGAAGUCACCAUUAAGGACAACAAUCUCAACUUUAAUUGAAGAAAGAGGACCAGAUGUGACAAUUACUUUUUUAUCAGUAUCAAAUAAAGCUAUUUCGACAUCACUCCCCGUCUCUCCUUCUAUUUUUCUGAAGGUAUGAAGAGAACGACAUAUCUUGUUCUGGAAUUUUAGAUGAUAUCUGGCAUGCUGAGCUCCACCAACUAGUUGUCUAUAAGAAGAACAUAGGAAACAAUUAAACAUAAUGUGCCAAACGGCAUAUGAAAGAAAAAAAAUAAUAAGAGUACAAUUAACAUCCAAUUGACAUUGACGAAAAAGUAAAAAAGUAUACUGAAGGAAAGCUUCAAAAUCAGUCCUGCCAGCGAAAUAGUCUACAACAAGAAAGAAAUAUAAACAUAUAGUCGAGAUUGACGAAGAAGUAGAAAAUUAUACCGAGGAAAAACUUCAAAUAAUAGCAUUUUGUCCACCCUAUGAUUUUGGUUUUUGUUUCCUGUAAGGAUUUGCCAUUAAAUAGGGUAGCAAAGUACAGCAUUUUACAGACUACAUCCCACAAUUUACACUUAAAGCCCUGUGGUUUGUAAAAGAAGCACUUUGCUGCCACAUGUAAACAGCAAGUCCCUACAGAAAACAGAAAUACAAAAUGCGAGUUAACAAGUACUACUCUUUGAACCACCGGAUAGUAAACUGCAAAUGUCCUAUACCUGAGGCGGUUGUUUUGAAGUUUCCCUUAUAUUUACAAGGCCAGCAAAAAUUAAGUAAAGCAAUUAACAGCUGCUUUAAAUGUGAAACUUGUUUCCCCUAUUAUGGUUGGAAAUUAUGCUAUACUUUCUCCAUACAUAAAACAAGAUAGAUUGCUAUUCACCAAAUAUUGUAUUAAUGAAGCAUUUGAAGAGCAGUAGCCAGCUUAGCAUACUAAAACGCAGUGAACUACGAAUUCAUAGCAACGAAAAGGUUAUUUUACAUAUCAAUAUGCAAGAAGAUAUAUUAUAUUCUAUAAUGAAAUCUCUGUAAUGAAAUCAACAGUCAGAAGCAGCAAUUAUUAAAGCAAAUACUAUGCCUGGGAAUUGGGUUUAUGUAGUUGUGAAGUCUCUUUUCCAGCUCUUGACAUACCUGUUACAGAAAAUAAUAUGACAAUUAAGUAUGUCUCUGACAAGUUACGAUAGUCGAGUUAUAUCAGUAGCUAAAGUUAUGAAGAUGAGCUAUAGCAAAGAGCCAUUUUUGGCGUUAUCCCAUAAAAUAUUUAGAAUCUUGAUAACAAGAUCAACCUUAAAUCGCCUAAGUAACUCAAAUGAAAUCACAGUGAACUAGCAUGAAGAUGCUCAUACCAAAGACCCUUUUUUUUAUGCUAACACAUACAAAUUUACAAUCGGGAUAACGAGAUAAAUCUAAAAGCACCUAAAUAACUCAACUACAGGGCUUCGACGUGAAAAUGAGUAGCAAAGAGCCAUUUUUAGGUGUUAUCUCAUAAAAAUUUAGAAUCUUGAUAGCAAGAUCAACCUUAAUCGCCUAGGUAACUCAAAUGAAAUCACAGUGAACCAGCGUGAAGAUGCUAUAUACCAAAGAGCCUUUUUUUAUGCUAACACAUACAAAUUUACAAUCUGGACAAUAAGAAAAAUCUUAAGGCACCUAAGUAACUCAACUACAGGGCAUCGACGUGAAUAAGAGCUAUAGCAAAGAGCCAUUUUUAGGUGUUUUUCCAUAAAAAUUUAGAAUCUUGAUAGUGAGAUCAGGUAUUCAAAUGAGAUCACAGGGAAUCGGCGUGAAGAUGCUAUACACCCUAGAGACAAUUUUUUGAUGUUAACACAUAAAAAUUUACAAUCUUGAUAACGAGAUAAGCCUUAAAGCACCUAACUCAACUGCAGGGCAUUGAUGUGAAAAUGAGCUAUAGUAAAGAGCCAUAUUUUAAUCUCAACCCAUUAAAAUUUAUAAUCUUGAUAACUAGAUCAACCUUAAAUCACCUACGUAACUCAAAUGAGAUCACAAAAAACCAGCAUGAAGAUGCUCUAUACCAAAGAGCCAUCUUUCGAUACUAACACAUACUAAUUUGCAAUCUUGAUAACGAGAUAAGCCUUAAAGCACCAAAGUAACUCGACUACAGGGCAUCGACGUGAAAAUGAGCUAUAGCAAAGAGACAUAUUUUGAUCUCAACCCAUUAAAAUUUAGAAUCUUGAUAACUAGAUCAACCUUAAAUCACCUACGUAACUCAAAAGGAAAUCACAGAGAACAGACGUGAAGUUGCUCUACAACAAAGAGCCAUUGUUCGACGCUAGCACAAAAGCAUAAAUCGCAAAGCACCUAAGCAACACAAAUGAAACCACAAGGCACUGGUGUGGAGAAGCGCUAAAUAAAAAAGCCGUUAUUUGAUCUCAACCCACAAAAAUUUACGAUCGAGAGAAUGCAAUCGAGCUCUUACCGCUCUCCGAACCAUCGAUUCGACCUUCUGUGAAAGGAACCGCCAAAACUCCUCUCCCAUCAUCAUCUCCCUGCGACCAACGAUAAGUGAGGAUUAAAGAAACAAACAAACAAAAAACUCGCAAUCAGCCUCAAGAAGGAGCUCCAGUGAAGAUCCGAAGCGAGUAAAAUCCUAACCCUAACCCUAAACCUAAUCGCACUCACAGGAUGAGACGCCGCCAGAGCUCCGAGGUUGGUGACGAGGGGGGCGAAGUGGGAGGUGUAGCCAUGGGGAAUGUGGAGGAAAAUGAGCUAUAAUGAGCUAUAUAUUUUUAGAGAGAGAGAGAGAGAGAGAGAAGAAAAAGAGAAAAUGGAGGGAAGGGAAGUUCCCGGGAAAUUUCGCACGGAAACAAGUCUUCGCCUUAAAAAAAAAAAAAAAAAAAGUAUGGAGAACCCUCAACUAUACUCGUAUUUGAAAUAGACCCUUCAAUUAUUCUUUUUUUUUUUAAUGCGGGGUAAACUUCAAAUACCACCCAUGUAGUUUCAUACUUUUUCACUUUAGUAUCAUGUGAUUUUAAAUUGUAUCAAUUUAGUACCCUGCGGUCUCAUUUUUCUCUCUUCGUCAGCGCUUUCGUUAACUUUUAGUUGAAUCAUAUACAAAAAACUUCAGAUGCCUCACCUAUAGUUUAUCGAAUAUCCGCUUUAGUAUCCUUUAUUAGUUUUAACUUUAUCACUGAUUUAACAAAAAAAAAAUUAAUAGAGGGGAUAACAAAAAGAAAAAUAAAACAACAAGGUACGAGAGUGAUACACUUUAAACCAUAGGAUACUAAAGUGAGAAAGUACGAAACCACAAGGUGGUAUUUUAAGUUUUUUUUUCUUUUUUUGCUUAGUUGUAACUUGUAGGUAGGAUUGUCAACCAUGAGCUAAAGUUGACUAAUAUUCGCCCAUUUACUAAACAAGUCAAACAAUGAGUGGGUCACUAAAAUAUCGAGCUAAAAAAUUCAACUCGUAUUCUAUUUGUUUAUCGAUGAGCCAAACACGAGCUAGUUUGCGAAUAGCAGAUUAGAUUGUCAGUCCUAUUGCCAGGCGUAAAAUUAAAAAAAAAAAAAAAAUUAAAAUAGAAAAUUUGAAUCUAACGAUUGAAAUUUUAUAAAAUAUAAGUCUCUUUAUAUUUGGGUUGACCUAAAAUCUAAAUAGUAAAAAUUUAAAAAAUAUAUAUAUUUAAGUUAUAUCAAGCCGAACAUAAGCGGGUUGACCCCAAAAAUUUGGAAAAUCUAUAUAUAUAAGUUAUAUCGAGCCAAACACGAGCAGGUUAACCCUAAAAAUUUGAAAUAUAUAUAUAUAUUCAAAUUAUAUCGAGCCGAACAUAAGCGAGUUGAUCCUAACUUGUGUCGGCUUGCUAACUAGAAAGUUCAACUCGUCUUCCACUCGCUCAUUUAAUAAAAAAGCCGAACACAAGCCGGUUAAAGCACCAAAGUAACACAAGCUGGUUACUCGUCUUUCACUUGCUCAUUUAUUUGGUUACUCAGCUUUUAAAAUUUUAUUUUACUAUCCAAUCAAUUAAUUUAUUCAAUUUAAGUAAAUCAACGGUAUUUUGACUUUGCCACUUGCUGCUCAAAACAGUUGCGCUUAACUGUUAUACGAUAUAUAUAGUGCAUUUUACUUUGCUUCUUUCAUGGUUCUAAAAAUUACAUCUAAACAUUCUGCGAUUGUAUUGCUUAUUUUGCUGUAAAAAUUUAUUGUUAAACAGGAUACCACCCCGUAAUUUUCAAGAUACUUUAUGUUAUUUCUCAUUUGACGACACAUCUUUUUUGUUAACAUAAAAUAAAACCACAAGAUUGUUAAGUGCAAUUCCGUGAGCCAAUUGGCGCGUGAGCCAAUUGACUACUUACAUAAUUAAAAAAAAAAAGUUUUUUCUUUUUUCCAAUUGGCGCGUGGAAAUUGGUGAGAGUGGUUAGAUGGAGGGCCCCACCUAGGGAUGUAAUGUGGGCCGUGCCGGGCUGGCACGGCCCACAUUUUUCGGGCCAAAUCGGGCCACUGGUCGGCCCGGCCCGACCCGGUUCUUAAUCCGGGCCGUGCCGUGCCGGCCCGUUUCCAUGAAGUAGAAGACCCGGCCCGGCCCCCGGGCCCGCCCAGCACGGGCCGUGCCGGGCCGGGCCGGGCUUCGUGCCAGCCUGCCAGGCUACCAGGCCCUUUCUUUUUUUCUCCUUUCCACAGUUUUUUUUUUCCAGAAUUUUUUUUUUCAGAAAAAAAUAUUUUUAAUACUUUUUUAUUAUUUAAGAGAAAUUGAAUUUCUAAAAAAAUAAUACAUUUUUAAAAUUUCAAAUUCAUAAAGUAAGAUAUUUAUAAAAAUCAUUAAAAUUUAAAUCUUUUGAGCAAAAUACCCUCCCAACAGUCAAAAUUUUGACUGUUGGGAAGGACAUUUUAGUCCAAGCCCAAAGAUCCUUGGGAAGACCCCAAGCAACAGCCCAUAAAGGCAUGCUACAGUGUAUGGCCCGGCAGGGCCACAACGGCCGGCCGUGCCGUGCGUGCCGGGGCCGGGUACCCCUCUCUGGCCCGCAGCGGCCAGGCCGUGUCGUGGCCGGCCGUGCCGGGCCAUCGGGCCGCGGGACCAAGGCCCAGCACGACCCGAUUCCAAUUGGUCGGACGGCCGGCACGGCACGCUACAGUACUCCGUGCCGUGCUGCCCGGACCACUCUCGUGCCGGGCCGGGCGGGGCGGGCCGCCGGCCCCGUUUGACACCCCUUAGCCCCACCCUGCUAUAACACGGGGGUCCCUAUCAUAAGAUUCUGGUCAAUUCGUGAGCCAAUUUGUCUUGUUAAAUUGACUAUACAAGUUACAGUAUAUAGAGUGCGGCUAGUAUACUUAUAGAAGUACGGAGGGUUUCGUGUUUCUAUUUUAUUUUCGAUGUUCGAUUUUUCGAAUCGACGAUCGGCCUCCGUUAGACUUGAUCUAGAGUAUUUGAAGUAUGUAGAAAAUAAAUUUUGUGAUUUUUCGAUAUCCACUUGCAUAGUGAUCGAAGUGGCUCAAAAUCAGCGGCUGAAAAAUAAAUCUAAAAUCAACAAAAUAAUGAUGAAUGACAUAAAAUUUUUAGAUCAAAGUAUUGAUCUUGUUUUACAUGGUAUAAAGAAGAUUUUGCUAUCAAAUUUCAUGUGAUUUGGAUAUUUCUACACCCCGUUAAACUUGUAACCGGCUCACACGAAGGCCGUUAAAAUUAUUGAUUUUGAGCCCCUGCGAUCACUAGGCAAAUGAUAUUCGAAAAAUCGCAAAAUUAUUUUCUAGGUACUUCAAAUACUCCUAGAUCAACUCUAACGGGAUCGACGAUUCGAAAAAAGUCAGAAUAUCGAAAACGAGCUUGAAAGCGACGGAGGCCUCCCGUGCUUCGCAUUACGUAACCAGCCACAACUCUAUAUUAUAUAUUAUAUACUAUAUAUACAUUAUAUAUAAUAAUAUAUUAUAUAUAUACUAAUAUAUUACUACCGUAUAUAUACGUAUGCUGAGUUAUUAUAUUUCUUAUGAAUAUUAACAUCUUGUACUAUAAAUUUUCGGCCGUUCUAGAUGAAGGGAUAUCCCGGUUACAAAUGAUAGUAGUCUCUGAUUAAGGACGAUAGUGACCCCUAGAGCUUCGUUUGGGUUCGGGGUUAAUAGUAAGACAUUAUUCCAGAAAUAGUAUACACAGUUCAGGUGUAACACCGGAAUACGGUGUAAUUUCUGCUCUUGGUAAAAAUUGAGCUGUUCGCGGAAAUAAAAUAAAAUAGUGUUGGAUAGGCUAAAAGGAAGAAGAAGAAUAGUGGGUAGUUAAAUAAAAAUAAUAAUAUCUGCUCUAAUUAUUAUAUUUAAACCAUAAAUUUUUUUAUUUUGUAUUUAAAAAUUUCAAAUUUAAAUAGAUAACUUUAAACUAGAAAAUUUUAAAAUUUAAAAUCUAAAUUUUUAAAUCACAAAUUUAAAAAUUUAAAGUUAUAAAUUUUAAAUUAAAUAUAAAUUUACAAAUAUAAAAUAUCAAAUUUAAAUUUUAAAUAAUUAAAAAUAACAAUUUUAAAAUUUAAAUUUUAAAUUUAAAUUUUUAAAUAUUAAUUUUAAGAUUAUAAAUUAUAAAUUUUUAAUUUUUAAAUUUAAAUUUAAAUAUUAAAUAGGGGUGUGAUUAGCUAAUUCCACCCUAUUCCAAGGGGGGUGGAGUUAGCUAACCCCACCCUUAACGGGUUAUCAAAUAACCCGUUAAAGGUGGGGUUCGCCCAAAAUAAGUUUUGGAGAUAAAAGGGGAUAACCCGUUAAUCCCCCCCAAGCCCAAACCAAAUGCUAUUCUAGAGUUGAGUGUAUGGUUGGUUGAAUAAUAUCAUCUAACGGAUGAAAAUAGUCAAAAGUUUAUGAAUAUAAAAGAUUUAUACUUAUAAGAGUAUAGUAGCCAGACACACACUCUCUCUCUCUCUCUCUCUCUAUAUAUAUAUAGUGUAAAUACUGAAUACAAAAAAAUUCAAUAAAACUUGUAAUUUACAAGAAUUAAGAAAUGAUGCAUAUUUUUUUUCAAGAAUUAUCAAACUUAUCUUCUUUAAAUUAUUGGUAAAAACAAAUAAAACUUAUCUCAACUACCACCUUUUUGGAUUUAAUAUUUUAAAAUUUUGAUUUUACCAUUUGAUCUUUUAUUUUUUUUUAUUUAAGCCAAUUAGUGAUUUUUUAAUUUCAAAUUUUGAAUGCAUCGUUUAUUUUUACGGAUUCUAUUAGCAUAUUUUAUAUUUAUUAAAAUAAAUAAUUAUAUUAAAUUUUUUAUCUAAAUAGUCAUCAAAUUACUUAAAUCUUAUAAAUUGAAAGGUUGAUUCAAAUCCAAAUUAUUUGCAGUUUCAGGCAAGCUUUAUAGAUUUUUACCUAAGGUCCUAUUUGAAUGUUAGAAUAAAUUAUCCGGAUAUAAUUUAUUUGGUAUGAGAAUUUUUUAAUAUGAUUGUAACUAAAGAAUUUGAUUUUUAUUUCUUUAAAGGUUCCUCUUGUUAUCGAUAAUUCGAUAGAAUAGUAUAUUUUGCUUACGAGAUAAUUUUUCUUAUUCCAAAAAAUAUAUAUUUAAAGGUCAGUUAUGAUAAUUCAUUUUAACUGAUAAUUCAUUUUAAACAUUUGUACACACUUCUCCACGUUCAAAAUAUAAAUCUCCUAAAUAAAUCAAAAAGAUAUACCAAAUAUGUUAUUCAUGCAUCUAAACACAAUCUUGAUAAAUAACUGAGAUGGCCCAAUCAUUGUGAUGUUAGGGGUUUUUGGGGUACAUUUUGGGGUAGGCUGUGCAUUAUUAUUAUUGUUGAUCUCUGCAAAUAUAUUAGUACUCCUUGAGGUGACACGUGGCAGUCAACGUGACCAAAAAAAGUUAUUUUUGGGCUUUUUUUUGGCCUUUUUCAUAAAAAAUCCACUUAUUUUGGGCUUUUGUAAAAUCGGGUCACCUUUUUCGUUUUUGCAGAUUCGGUCCGUUUUUUCAGCAAACUGACCAAAAUACCCUCAUUACUUUUUCUCUUUCCUCUUUCUCUCUCCUCUCUUCGUUCUCUCGUUCUUUUUUUUUUUCCGCCGAAAAAAAAAAGCGAAGGCCGGAGCACCGCUAGGCGGGCUCUUCUUCUUCUUCUUCCUGCAUGAGCAAUUUUUUUUCUCUUUUUCUUUUUCUUCUUCUUUUUCCUACUGCUGGAGCUUUUUUUUUUUCCCUCUUCUUCUUCUUCUUCUUCUUCUUCUUCUUCUUCUUUUUCUUCCUGUAAGAGCACGGAGCGCGCACGGCGACUUCCGGCCUCGCCACAGAGCCCGACCGCUCGACCCCGACGCCCCGCUCAAGCCGGGGAAGCUCUACUUCCUCGUCGACCUCCCCCGCGCCGACCCCGAGCCCGACCAUCGCCGCGAGGGCGCAACCGGCGCCGGCGCCGGCGCCACGCGUUUCCCGACUAUUGCCGAGCAAUGGCCCCGCUGUCGUGACUGAUGAAGCCCGCGGUCUCGGACCCCGAGUCCCGUCAACCGGGGGCUUGUAUUCCUCCCCGCGCCGCCCCGAGCCGACACCGCCGCGCGAUUCACAAUUACCCAGUUAUCGUGAAUACACCAUUAAUGGUUAAUAGUGCACAUUACACCUUUACGAAGGACCGGCCGAAGCCGACAGCGGAGCGCGCUGCGCAUGAGGAGCCGCCGGCUGUUGCGUUGCCGCCUCCUCCGCGGCGACGGCAGAUGCGAGCAGGGAGGCUUGGCGUUGCACCGGCACUCGAGUUCUAGCCGACCCCGGACCCCCCGCGCCUCGUCGACCCGACGCCCGCAGGCCGCGCGGAUGCACGGCCCUCCGUGCGUGCGCUGCACCCCGAGACUUCGCGGGUAGAGCUCGGCUUGGGGGGGCAGUACGCAGAACACGGCCACUCUGUUCACCGUCGUGGGAGACCUGCGCACUGUGUUGCGUGCUGGCCUUGGCAGGCAGAGCUUUAGCGCUGAUCUCCUAUACAUGGCGACGGCGACGCGCGAGGGUUCUCGGGGAGUGGUCUGACGGCCCGCAUUGCGGUCCCCGCGCUGCGCGGAGGCCGCGGCUACGCUGGCCGGGAAUUGGGGUUUUGUUGGACGCGCUUGGCGCGGAGUACGACGUGGGAGCGAGGCCGCGGAGAUGGUGAAUCCGGGAAGCUGGCGCGGCUUUGCGUCGCGGGGGAGCCCGAGUUUGAGGCGGGUCAUGCACGAGGUCAGUGCGGGCAUGGGAGGAGAAGGCGUGAAAGUCGAUCUCAGCCGUUCUUAGUGCCGAGAUCUCGAACGGCAGUGCGAUUGUAAUUUCCUUUUUUUUCGUGAUUUUCUAUUUUGUGUGUGCGUAUAUCGAAUACUAUGGAGUGUGAUUAGUCUCGAGUGAAAAGGAAACGGUGAAGAUAGAAAAUGAAAUGGGUUAUCCAGCUCUGCUUUGUUGAGAAAUAAAAAAUAGUCGUAUUGCGAGUUUUGUAUUUGAGUGCCGAGGCAUGUAGUUUGAUAAUUUGUUUCGAUGAUGAUUGAUGAUAGAUGAUGGAUGACGGACUGAGGAGGAGGAGGAUACGCUCGACGCCGACGCCGCGCGCACGGCCGCUCCCAUCGACCAUAUGCCCCUCAGCGAUUUCCGAUGUCCCUCCACGCGGCCCGCCGUGCCUCGUUCCUGCGCAGUGCACUUUCAGGCCCGCUAGCAGCGCGGACGAAUCUUCUGCCGUCGCGCGAGCGCGCCCGAGCCGCGCUCUGCCGCGGAGCUCGCGGCGGCGCCGCAGGCCGACGGCGGCCGGUUCGCACGCGAGCGCUGCGAGCGUCGGGCUGUCAAGCGGAGGCGGCCGAGGCGACGGUUCGAGGCUUGGCGAGCUCCCCUCCGAGACUCGGCGCCUGCACGCACGCCUCCUCCCUCCGUCAGCCGUCGCCGCGAAGGAGGGCGCACGUCGACCGCGGUCUCGCGCGGCGCUCGUAGUCUCGGGCUUGGCCGGGUUCUUUCGUAAUGGUGUAAUUGGUGCCCAUUACCACCAUUAAUUGUUGUAAAGGUGAAAUCGCGCCGCGGUGUCGGGCUCGGGUCAGGCACGGGGAGAAGUAAGAGUUCCCCGGCUUGGGGGUCGCGGCAUGUGCAGUCGGUGGUCAAGGGAUCGGGCUCGUAGGUCCGCACGCGGCGGCCUUCCUCGGAAACUAGUAGAAAUCGCGCGCGGCGCCCGGGCGCCGGUUGCGCCUCGCGCGGGCGAAAAAGCGAGACGGUGGCGGGCCCGAGUCGCGCCGGGGGGUUGAGGUGACGAAGACGGAGCUUCCCCGGCCUUAGCACGGCGGGCGUGCGGGCGACGCGGCGGGGAGCUGUGGGGAGGCCGGUCGCUGGGUGGCGCGUUGCUUUACAGAAAGAAAAAGCAAGAAGAAGAAGAAGAAGAGGGAAAAAAAUCCUCCGCAGUAGGCAGGAGUAAGAGAAGAAAGAAGAAAGAAAAAAAAAAAUUGUCACUGCAGAGAAGAGAAGAAGCAGCGCAUGGCGGCUGCUCCGGCGCUUCGCUUUUUUUUCGCGCGAAAAAAAAAAAGAACGAGAGAACGAAGAGGAGAGAGAAAGAGAAAAGAGAAAAAGUAAUAAGGGUAUUUUGGUCAGUUUGCUGAAAAAGCGGACCGAAUCUGCAAAAACGAAAAAGGUGACCCGAUUUUGCAAAAGCCCAAAAUAAGUGAAUUUUUUAUGCGAAAAGGCCUUUUUUUUUGUAUUUAGCCGCUUAAAAAAAAAUUUAUAAAUAGUUUUAUGAAAUUUAUAUUUGCAAUAUUUACGCUAUUUUUAUCAUGUAAGCGCUACGCGAACAUAGACGGCGAUAUAGGUUAAGUUGAACACGGUGAAUCAUUUAUCGUAUUUGGACACGAUGAACCACAUGGUGAAUGGUUCACUGUAAUCCACACGAGCGUCAUGCGAUCAUGGAUAGCGGUAUGUAUUAAGUUGAACACGGUGAAUUAUUUAUCGUAUUUGGACACAGUGAAACAUAUGGUGAAUGAUUCACUGUAUUCCAUUAUUUUUCUAUCAUAGUAUUAUAUAAUAUUUGAAAUUUUGAAUUUAGGAAGGAUACGGUGUAAUUUACCGUAUCCAAACACUGUUAAUGAUUCAUUAUAUUCAACUUAAACUGCUAUCACGUUCACGUGACGCUCGCAAGAUAGAGAUAAAGCAAAUUUUAUAAAUAUAAAUUUUAUGGAGGUACUUAUGAAAAGCAAAUUUCUGAGCGGGCUAAAAGAUUACUUUUUCGCCCAGCGGUAGUUUCAGUUUUUUAUGAAUAAAAUUAUUUAUUGUAUUCCACUUUUUUUUUUAUUCAUUUUUUUCCGUACAAACUAAAUAAAUAUAACUGAAAAUUUAUUUUUCUUUUUUCAACAAACCGCUAAGGAGCGUAAAAUUUUUUUCCUCCAAACUUUUUUUAUCAAAAAUAAGUUUUUAUAAUUUUACAUAGAACCAAACAGCCUCUUACGUAAAAUUUAAAGUGUCAACUGCUUGAUCAUCAAACUUUACUUUAAUAUAAUUUUUAGCUUAAUUUUUUUUAAAUUAUUACAAUUAAUUUUUUACAAUUUAAUUUAGUUGACUAAUUAAGGAUGUGUCAUUAAUGUGAAAGUAAUGUAACAACGUACAAAAUCCAACAAAAGAGGUUCAACCCACUAUGAGAGAAGCUAAAGAAUAACAGAUGUUGGACCACCAAAGAAGAACUAGCAAUGCUAAUGGUACGGAUACCCAAAAUUUUAUCCAAAUUCAGAUCCGAACGGAGCAGACUUACCCAAUGCUAAACAGAUAUAAUUCACAUACGAAUAUAAAAAAAUAAAAAUCUAACGGAUUUAGAUUCGGGUAUGAAUUUUGACUGUACCAGAUCCAAACCGAACCCGAAUCUGAACCCAAUCCGUAUUUAAAAUUUUAGAUUUCAUGUAAUACGUUUCAAAAUAUUAUAAAGAGAAAUAAUUAUUUCAGAUUCGGAUUUUCAGGUUCGGGUAUGGAUUUUGGAUUUUUAAUCGGUAGAUAUAUAAAUUUUUUAAAAUCCACCGAAUUUGGGUUAGGGUAAAAGUUUCGGAUUUCGUAGUCAGGUUCGGUUUGGGUUUGCGUUUCGAAAACCCGCUGAGAAACAAAACCGAAAGACGGCGGGCCUCCCUUCUCUUUUUAGGCCCAAAAGGAAUUUGCUCUUAAUAUAGUAGAAGAAAAAAAAAAUUUAGUGAGCUUCUAAACGAUGCCUCGUUAAGGAGAGUCAUUUUGUCACCAUAUAUAAUUUUUAUCUCUAUCAAACGGUUGUAAUUUUUCCCUCUAUGGUUUAAAUAUUUUUCUUAAAUUUUAAUAUUAAAAAAAAAAAACCCAAUGGACUAUUAAAUGGAGACAAAAGUAAUACGUGACAGACUGAGAGUACAUUGCGAUUCAGUGACAAGGCAUUAUCGGGGAGCUUCCACUAAACCUUUAUCACAAUAGUAGAGAAGUCGACUUUUUAGGAACCCACUCUUAUUAGAUUUUAUAGUUUAUAUAUCUAUAUAAAUAUAUAAAUCCCCAGUUCGGAUCCAGGUAGCAGCAAGGGGCGGAGGCAGAGGUGCGUGCGCGGGGUGCGGGCGGUGCGUGCGCGGGGUGCGGGCGUGAGCCAACAUGGGCACUUGCGUGUAGGGUGGGACCAACAUCGGGUCAGGCCCAGCCGGAGGAGAGGGAAGAGGGAGUUUUUUUUUCCCUCUCUCUUCAAUUUUUUUCUCUUUUCAUAUAUGGAGAUGGAGAUUUAUAAUUUUUUUAAAGUCCAAUCUAAUUUUUUAUUUGUUAUUAUAAAAAUUUAAACUAUAUAAAUAAUUUUUAAAUAGUUUAGACUAUUUGUAUUAAAUAUAAAUUUUAAUUUUAUAAUAUUGAGCAUUUAGAUAUAGAUUGUACAUUAAAAAAUAAAGAAAAGAUUGAUGGAGUUUAAGUUAAUUUUAUAUUUUACAAAAUUUAGUUGCGAAAAUCGCAUAAAAUAUAAGCGAUGAAUUCAAGUUUAAAACUAUAAGACGAGUGAUACUUUAAUUCUCGAACUUUAAUGUGUUAUAAUUUUAACUAUGAGGCAUGUGACACUUUUAUACUCAAACUUUAAUUAGUUGCAAUUUCUAACUUGAAAUAUUAUGUAUAUUAUAUUUUGAGUUUAGCUAGAAUGCUAUCGAUAACAAACCGGCACUUUUGCCAUCUAUUUGUUUUCGAUGAUGGAGCCUCCAAAUCGACGAUCGGCACCGUUGAACAUGAUCUAUACCACUUGAAGUAUUUAGAAAUCAAAUUUCAAAUCUUUUCGACAUCAUUUGCCUAAUGAUCAAAGGGUUUCAAAAUUUGUAAUUUUAAUGGUCGAUAUGAGCCGUUUUCUCGUUUAACGGCAUAAAGAUAUCCAAAUCAAUUGAAUUUUUGUUAGAAAAUUCUUUAAACUAUUUAAAACAAGAUCUAUACUCUUGAUCUUGAUUACAAGACUCCUAUCAUCAUUUUUUUAAGAAUAUUCAUUUUCAGCCGUUCAUUUUUGUGUCAACUCGAUGGAUAAGAGAGCAAUAUCGAAAAUGUAUGAAAUUUAAUUUCUAAAUACUUCAAAUGGUAUAGAUAAUGUUCAACAGUGCCGAUCAUCAAUUUCGAGGCUCCAUCAUCGAAAACAAAUGGGUGGCAAAAGUGCCGGUUUGCUAUUGAUAGUAUUCUAGCUCAACUCUUAUAUUUUAGUCAUCAAUGUUUAUUGCUGCUACAAAUAUAAUUUAUUAUUCGUAUAGUUUUUGCCUUUAAUUUUUUAAUCCUUCUUAUAAUUUAUUUUUAUAUUGUUAUUGUAGCAAUAGUUGCUUAUUCUUUAGUUACUUUUUUAUAUAUAAUUUCUGGAUUUUUUUUUUUACUAUUUAUUUAUUUAUUUUUACGGAAUCAUUGUGUCACAACGCGCGGAUCCUUUAAUAUCAUUAUAAUCUUAAAAGUCAAUGUUAUAAGAAAAUUGUUGUUUGUAUAUCCAAAAGGCGGUAUAAAACUUGCACCCACUCAUUUGACCGUUUAGAAAAUUUUUAAAAAUUUUGGAGAAAAAGAAAUUGAUAGUUUUACCCUUUUUUUUUGUGUAGGGGUAGUAGUAACUCACCUUAUAAUAAACCGUAAAAACAUAACUACAUAAGUACUACCCUUAAUUUCAAUUUUAGGAGUGAAAUGCUACUUAUAUACCAAAAAAAUAAGCGUAAAUCUUACACUUUCUAGUCUAAACGGUUAGAUGCCCUUUUUGAAUUUUUAAUAUAAAAAAUAAAGAUUAAUAAGACUAGUAAGCAAAAGCAGUGUUUUGAUGGAAAGAUUGAAGAUUUACACCUGAUUUUUUAGGUGUACAGAUAGUAUGGCCACUGUACAGUCUUUUAUUAUUUGAGAAAAUGCUUACCUGUAUAUUGAAAAGAGAUGCAUAAAUUUUACAACCCGCUGAUUCAAGAGUCCAUAUAAUUUUUUAAAAAAGUUUUAAAUAUUAAAAAUUUAGAGUUGUAGUAUGACUAUGUAUCAUCUUUAGAUGAGUGUAGUGUAAAAUUUACAUCACCUUUAGAGGUACAGAUAUUAUUGCUCUUGUUGUUUAAUUUUAGACUUUUAUAAAAAAAAUAAAUAAAUGCUAUUUCUACAUCCAAAAAUGGGGUGUACUUCUCACACCACCUCUUCACAGGGUUUAAAACUUAUUUUUUUAGUUUUAAACUUUUUAAAAAAUUGAUAAAAUUAGUACAAACUUAUUUAUAUAAAUAAAUUUUCAAAAUUUGAGAAAAUUGCUUUUAAUUUACUUAAUUAAAAGCGGGAGGUCUUGAGUUCGACUCUCAACGAAAUCUUUUUUUUUUACCUUACUAUUUUUUAAAAAAAUCUAUUCUAAUUUUUUUUUAAUUUACUUAAUUAAAUUAUAUGUUUUUUAAAAAAUUCUAUUCUAAAAUUUUAAAUUCAAAUCACCAAAGAAAAUUAAUGGAUUAUUAAUACAUUUCAUGAACACUAGUGUAGGGACCUGCGCGAUGCGGCGGAUAGAAAUUGUUAUAAUAAAAAUUUAUGAAUUAUAUAAAUAAAUAAAAAUAAAAUUGUUAUAGUUAAAAAUUGCGAAGUAAAUAAACCAAAAAAACGUAAAGAUAAAAUAGCACGAUAUAACCACAUUUAAUUAGUUAAAAAUGUAAAACAUAUAUUAAAACACAGCAAGAUAAAAUCACAUUUGAUAGGUUAAAAACGUAAACAUAUAUUAAAAUUUUUUAGAAUAGUAAUACAAUUCAAUAGAGAACAAAAAAAGAGAAGGAAAAGAAAGAACUAUAGAAGACGAAAAUUUAGUGCAUAGAUAUUUUAAGAAUAUAUUUGAAAUUUUGUGAAAGAAGAAUAAUAAGUAACGAAAAGCAAAUUGAAUUGUCUCAAAUUCAGAUUUAACUAAUCAUCAUCCAUCCUCUUUUCUUUCCUGAUCCAAAUCAGUUUUUUUUUUUUUUAAGCCAAUAAUUAUGACACUUGCCGAUGGAUAUAAAGAUUGUUAUACCAUCACAUAAUUAGUAUGAAAUAUAAAGAAAAUUAACGAAAAGUAUGAAAGAAUACACAAUAGUCAUGUAAACAAAUUUGGAAGUAAUAAUAGCUAGUUUCAACUAUUUGUUUUUAUUUCAGUAAGGCCCACCGCUUAAUGUAAAAAACUCAACUUUACUUGAUGCACGAGCAAUUCAAAUUUCAAGAGAAUGGCGCACUAAAUUGCUUAUCAUCGAUUCAAUGACUUUGACAUUGUUGUCUUAACUUGCAAGAAAGAUUGUUGUCUUAAAUUUCUGCAGAAUUUUUAGUAUGACGAAGCUUCACUUUUUUAAUGACUUUCUGGAUUAGCCUGAUGGCAUCCUUAAUGACUUUCUUGUUGGCUGUUCCCUCAGUUAAGUAGGUUGACUUGUUUUUCUUAAAUGUGAAUUGUAUAAGAAAGAAAUCUUCUUUACAGGUUAAUCUCUUAUAAUGCUUUGUAGUUUCAACUGUUACGAAUAAAAUUGGCUCUUUGGAUAGGAUAAUUCUCGAAUUAGUUCUAAUUAAUUUUUAGCCCUUUCAUGCCUAUGUUCUUGUUUAUAUCUGAAUUUGUACCUACGCCUGAAAUAAGCAGUUCUUAUUUAUACCUGAACCUAACACAGCCUUUGAGCCCCUAGUUGCUGAUGGCUUCCGAUUUUGGAUAAAUAGCAUCUUCAGGCUCAUCUUCUCAUAUAUGUUUAAUAAACCAUCCAAAUUGCAUUACACAUCCUUCAAAAAGCUUUGCUAUCAUUAGCCCUUUUUAAUACAACGAAUCUUCGCUAAAAGCAUUGCUAUGACUUUCUUGUUAAUUUUUUGGUUACUGUUUCCUCAGUUUAAGAAUGUUGAUUUGUUUUCUCAAAUGUGAAUUGGAGGUGAGGUGAAAUCUUGUUUACAUGCCAAUUGUCUUAUUGUGCUCUUCCUAACUCGAUUCAGUGUUUACAAAUACAAUGCUCAGAACAAAGCUUGUUUGCAUUGAAAUAUUUUUCAGUUCAUUGUUAAUUGGUUGUUGGGUCUUUGAUGGAUGACAUUGUUCUUAGGGAUCCUUAGCUACCAUGUCAUACAAUUUUGGAAAAAUUUUCAACUUCAGGCUCAUCUUCUUGUAUUUUGUUUGUGCACUACCAAAUUGCAUUAGACAUUCUUAAAAAAAAAAAAUAACAAAACCAGUUCUUGUUUAUUUGCUUUUAGCUCAAAUCAUUUGAAUACAUAUAAUUUUUUUGAAUUUGCAAGCACAUUAAGUAAUAUCUUUAGCCUAAUGAUAAGGUCUUCUGAAGCCAAUCUUAAAAUCAGAGUUCCGAACCUUCGCAUAUUCUUAAAUCCGAGCUCGAGCCCCGGUUUUAGAUUUAUAGGAAGUGGUUUCUAGUAUCACUCAGUAGUAUUGCAACCCUUCUUUCUAGUUAAAAUUCAGAUGACUCGAUUGAAAGUAUUAGAUGAAAUAGAGAGAGCUUGUCUGCAAAGGUAUCAAAAAUCAAAAUUUCAAAUUUUUUUUUAAAAAAAAAAACUAUGAACUGAAAUACAAACUUUAUACCUCAUCUAGUUUAAUAUCACAUCUAGAUGUUGGAUUAUAAUCAUCUUGAUCAAAAACAAGCAGAGAGGCAUCAAAAAGACGCAAGAUUGCCCCUCUUUUUUUAAAAAAAAAAAGAAAAGAAGCUAUUACUCUUUUUAGAGAAAUUGAUGCAACAUAUCUCCAAACCAAUGUAUGAAGUUUGCUAAAAUUUCAUAUUCAAAUAGGCAAUCAAAUUGGUGUUCCUUGUUUCAAAAUUAAUUUAAGAAUUGCAAUUUAGCAUAAAUAUACAAACACAAGCAAGGUAGUAGCAUAUAUGAAAAUGCAUCAAUUCAUCUCACUUCCAAGUUACAUAACACUCUUUUGUCCACCAUAUUUAAGAUCACACGAACGCCAAGACAUACAAAUAAUAAAGUUCUUCAUUGCAGAAUUGUCCAGACACUAACACUAUACUGUAAUUCUAAAUGCAUAUCUACGUAGUAUAACUUACAAAGAAAUGCUAUUCUGUUCUAUAUCACGUCUGACAGAUACAUCCUUGAUAUAAGUUGGGUCAUAAGUUAGUUCACACUGUUGCAACGAGGGUUUGGCGAACCAAAAUCCUAGCCCUUACCUUCUUGGCGAAGCGCACCCAUUUGAUCGGUGCAAGAAGCUUAGCCCACGUAGGCGGCGAUGACAGUGGGGCGACGCUACGACUAGUUUCACCACCCGAUGAGGUAGAAAAAUUACUUAUGAAAGUCUGGAUCGGCCCUUCGCAGGAGAUCGAGUCCAACCAGGAGAUCGAGUCCAACCUGCUCAUUCGCAAGAUAGUGGAGUGAGCUGUCGGAGACUCCACGAAUGGGGACGACUCAACUUGAUUCUGAGGACACACUGGAGUAGCUUGUUCAUCUGUGGAGUUAAAACUUCGAUCAAGAAUUAUGUAAUAACAAGAGAAAAGACCAAAGAAAAGAUAUUAAUUCAUAUUUGAUAAUUGGGUUAUAAUCGAACAUGAAGUACCAUAGUUCGCCAGCAGGCACUCCAUGCUCUGAGGGUAAGAAGUAUCUUCAGGAGGUGCAGUUUCCAUUGGAAAGGUGAAAUCCAGAGAAUUAUCUCUUUCAAACGAGACAUCCUGAUCAAAAAAGAUUAGAAAGAAGGAAAUUAUAUGGGUCAGGCAAAUGCAGUAACUUUGUAAUAAUAACUUUUUCAGAAGCUUGGAUUUACAAAUUCGUAAUAGGUGAAGUUUGUAUCACCAUAUAGAUGUUAAACAUGUAUUUCAAUAUAAGCCUCUUUUUGUAUGUAACUAAAGAUAUUAGCAUAUUAUGCUUGCGUCAUAGAAAAGGUCUUAUUCCGAAUAAGAAAUAACCUCAGAGCAAAAAAUCACAGUUCUUCUCGUAGCAGACUAUUUAUACACUCCCCGAAACUGAGAACAUAAUUAGCAGCUUUUAUUACCACAUAAUGCUAUUAUCACCCUCAUGUCAAAUUAUCAAACUCUUGCCGAGGGUUUAAAUGAACUUGAUGAUCUGAAGAACGAUAAUGUUUAAACGGUAGCCCUUCCUGUCGGAAGAGACAAAAACUGAUCUAUAUGAAUUACCUUUACAGUAGUUCGGGAUUGCUCUAGUAAUUCAUUGCCCAGUGAAUAAGGCUGUGUCCUGAAACAUGCUUCUGAAGCUGCCAAAAUUUUCAGAUUAGUAAAGCAUCACAAUAUAUAAUAAGGUAAUUAUUAAUUUAGUACAAAAAAUUGCUAAAUCCAAUUACCAUAAUGUGUGACUGGUAGACCAGGAAACUCUGAAUUUGGAGCAGCAGUUGAGAUAUUGUUAAAUGAUGAGUUUCCCAUCUCCAAUGGGAGAUUCUGCAGCAUGAGAAAGAGAUUAUUACUUUUCAGUAUGUAUCAAAGAGUCUAUGUAAUAAUAAGAAGAUAAAAUAAGGAAAUAGGUUAAGAGGUAAAAGCAGACUCAACCUUGUAGAACUAGAUGAAUUCUGAAAUGGGUGCUUGCGCUCAAAAUAUUUUUGAUUCAAAGUACCAGCUUUUUGAUAGUUUUGAUUUCAAAAUAUCCCAUCGAUUUAUGUGAAAACUUAACAAUUUCCAUCAAAAAAGCAAUAAAAUAUUAUGGUAGGUUAUGGUAUACUCCAUCCAAAAAGUUAAGAAUACCAUUAAGCUUUAAAAAAGAGUUUGUUAAUAUAUUGUAAGCUUCAGAAGCAAAAAAUAACUGAAACCUAAAUAACUGCUCUCCUCAUCUUCCUCGUUUUUCUUAUCUUCUCUUCAGUCUCAAAUAACAUAUACCUGAGAUUUCCUUUUUUUCUUCAAUUAUCCUCAUUAUCCACUUUCUUUAUAUUAAUGCAUAUAAAUAUAGCUUUUAGGGGCAUGUAUACAAAAUACCAACUUUACAAAGUUAUCUGAGUGAAUGCCCCAUAGUUGCAGAGAUACAUAUGAAAAAAGAACCCAUUUUGUUCGGUCAUACUUGAAAAAACUGAAACCCGAUAACUCCCUACAUCAUGUUGCUCAUUGUUAAAAGUCAAAAUGAACUUUGGGAAUGUUUUCAAACAGAAAUCAACUUACGCUUGUUGCAUAUGAAGGUUGAUGAUUAUCCACAUCAAUAUAAGGGUGUUCCAUGAGUAAAUUAAGUGAAUCCACACUUGCUACAGAGGUUUCUUGCAGAAGACCAACUUGAGAAUCUACUUGAUCUGCUAAAAUCGCUGUGUUAAUGAUAGAACAUAGCAUGGGAUAGUUAAAAGAAAGCCACUUUUACAUAAAUAUAUAUCCCUGCAAAAUCGCAAUUUUUAUAUAUGCCCUACAAAGACAUAACGUCUUGCAUAUACACUGUUUCACUUACAAAAACAUACAUUUUCUAAAGAAAAAUCAAUUUCCACAUAAAUUAAAUGAUACCCUAACGUAAAAUAAGGCUACUAUUGUAAGAGAUUGCACUAAGGUAAAAUAAGGCUACUGUGAAAAUUCAAAUUUUAUAGCAUUAUAUAUGUAAAAUUUAAAUGGAUUAAUAGCAUAAUGUAUUUAAGGGGGUAAAAAAAAAGAAAAUCUAACAUUAAGUCAUCAAACAGUGAAGAGGAAUUUACCAGAAUUUCUUAUCUGGGAGUUGGAAAUAUGAGGUGGCAGUGUACUUGAUCCGGGGAAGGAAGUAACAUCACUCAAAAGGAGAGGCAUAGGAUGGCCGUUAAUCAUUCUAUGAUCAAGUUGCAUGCCAUUUAUGUUUCUAUAUGCUAGAUUUUUCCAUGAUUCCACUGAAUCCUGCAACCAAAUGAACAGAAUUAUUUGUCCGCAUACCAGCUUCUAUGACAGAAUAUAAUAAGCUAUUCUUGAUGAAAAAACGGGGGACUCUUUAAUUUCAAGAAUUUGGUUGUUAGUUGUUAGCAUCACCAGAUUCAGCACUCCUUGAACAUGUAACCAAAUAUAAACAGAACAUACACAUGCUUCACAACUAAAAUCUGAAAACAUCAAUUUCUAGAAAGUGUGAAUGAAUGCAUGCAUCGUCUUAAUGAUGAGAAAGCCCUUUCUGUCCAGCUCUUUGACCGAGCAUUCUAUCAAAAUGCUAGUAAAUCAUAAACAGGUUAUACCCCUUUUUCUCAAAAAGUUAAAAAAAGAAAAAAGAUAAGUAAAUCAUAAGCUGGGUUUUAAGGAAAAAAAUAAACACCUGUCGGGAUGCGUCGAGAUUAUCAAGGGUGGUAUAACAGUCACCAAAUUUCACACCAACAAGAUGAUAAACAGAGUUGAAGAAAAGUACAAUAGGAACAACAGUGUUCUUCUCUCUCAUGGAAUAAGAAAAGAGCCCGUCUCCUGGAUCACAUUCCUUUGCAUGUUUAACAAUCUCUUUCCAGUAAGUUUCUGCCAUCCUGAGAUUCUGUAAAUAGGGCGACAAAAAGUACGUUUCCAUUAGUAUUUCUCUUUCCUCAGUAUGGAAGUUUCUAUUAGUUGAUAGUAGGCAAAAACAUACAGACAUAUCUCUAGUCCCACUAAGAGGUCAUUUGUAAACAGGACCUUUAACUUAUCUUUUUCUCAGAUUUGAACCCCUCAACUAGCAUGUUUUCAAAGAUUCGUAUAGAACAUAAAGAUCCUUUUAAUUUUUCACGGGAUAUUUGUAAUUAAUGAAUAUUGCAUUACUUGAUGGAAUAUUCCAUAACUAUUUUGGCAGAAGCAUUAAGAUCUUACAGUAUCUGACCAGAUGGGAUUUUCUAAAAUUAAUUGAAACGUUAGUUGUGGGGCUCAAAUCCAAAAAGCUACAGUUCAGUGUCCUGUUUUCGAAUGACCUAUACUUGAGAUGGUGUUGGUAAAUUCUUGCCUUGCUAGCAAGACAAAAUAGUACACGCCAAACUCAUAACUUACCUUUCGCAGAUUGCCUUUCUCCAUAUUGUAAUAUCUCAAGAGGUCCUGCACAGUUUUGAUAUCAUGUCCUUGAAGCUUCUCGUGAAAUUUGCCACCAUUCCUAAUGUGUUUAAGCCGCCAAACUUCGUCAUUCAAUGAAGGAGUAGGAUGCUUUUGAGACGCUGAACAUAUUGAAACCAAUAGGCUCAGGUACCAAGAGUAAAGAAGAAAUUACAGCAGUAUGUGCUUCUGUUAAACAACAAUGCAGUACCAAAAAUCAAAAUAUGUAGAGUCUCUUUUGCUCAAUGGAUUCUACAAUUGAACCAACCAUACCUAGCGCAGUUGGCUAAAGACUUGAUGGUUGGUACCCCGGAUCCCAAGUUGAAGCCUAAUUGCUUCACAUUUCUAGCUGAGUUCAUUUCAAA